AGCUUCUGGAAGCUGGUUGCGGUU
RNAcentral lists this non-coding RNA (24 nucleotides) under Arabidopsis thaliana (thale cress). The record is from RNAcentral. Lineage: Eukaryota; Viridiplantae; Streptophyta; Magnoliopsida; Brassicales; Brassicaceae.